This 253-nucleotide ribosomal RNA is filed under the name uncultured bacterium. RNAcentral describes it as "partial 16S ribosomal RNA". It matches the Rfam family "Bacterial small subunit ribosomal RNA", at positions 524 to 776 of the family's 1533-position model. The record is from RNAcentral.
UACGGAGGGUGCAAGCGUUAUCCGGAUUCACUGGGUUUAAAGGGUGCGUAGGUGGGCAGGUAAGUCAGUGGUGAAAUCUCCGGGCUUAACCCGGAAACUGCCAUUGAUACUAUUUGUCUUGAAUACCGUGGAGGUCAGCGGAAUAUGUCAUGUAGCGGUGAAAUGCUUAGAUAUGACAUAGAACACCAAUUGCGAAGGCAGCUUACUACACAAAUAUUGACGCUGAGGCACGAAAGCGUGGGGAUCAAACAGG